This 72-nucleotide transfer RNA is filed under the name Dryococelus australis. RNAcentral describes it as "tRNA-OTHER". It matches the Rfam family "tRNA". Rfam says of the family: Transfer RNA (tRNA) molecules are approximately 80 nucleotides in length. Their secondary structure includes four short double-helical elements and three loops (D, anti-codon, and T loops). The record is from RNAcentral. Lineage: Eukaryota; Metazoa; Arthropoda; Insecta; Phasmatodea; Phasmatidae.
GCCCCUGUAGCCUAAUAGUUAAAGCAUCGGUCUUCUAAACCGGGGCUUUGGGUUCGCCUCCCACCAGGGGUA